GCGAGCCUACCCUGCCAGUCCAGUGUCCAUACCCCGUGCUCAGGAGGCCGCUAUGUGUACAGUAGUCUGCACAUUGGUUAGGCUUGGCCUGGGCCAGCA
This 99-nucleotide microRNA precursor is filed under the name Jaculus jaculus (lesser Egyptian jerboa). RNAcentral describes it as "microRNA 199a-1 (ENSJJAG00000001113.1)". Lineage: Eukaryota; Metazoa; Chordata; Mammalia; Rodentia; Dipodidae. The record is from RNAcentral.